AUCGUUUUAUGAUGCGGGAUUCAAUGAUAUCUUCGGCAAAAUAUGCUGCAUACAUGAUAUCUGUCUCCUCAUCUUCUGUUAUUUUUUGUAAAGAAAAAUCCUAUUGUAAGGAAGUAACUUUUUCGACAAGUGAUUCAAUUUGCUGCUUCUCAUCAAGAAUCAAAUAUUGAUAAUCACGAUUUAGGGUCUGGCGUAGAAUUUGAGCAAGAGAACAAAGAGCACCAUAAGCCAUCUCUCAUACGUGCUCAAAGUAUUGAAAGACAGAAGAUUGAAGCAAACAGCUUCGUUAUAGCAACAAAUUAAGGAAGUAUUUAGCGAAAGUAAAGAGCUAUUUGCAGUUUCUUAAUUGAAUAAGAUGCUUGAAAAACAGAGUUGACUACAGAGUUACAAUAAAGUCAUUGUCUAUGUAAUUGACAGACUUCCCACCAAAUUAAAAAGUGCGAAGUUCAAA
Molecule: long non-coding RNA, 451 nt
Filed under: Olea europaea subsp. europaea
Lineage: Eukaryota; Viridiplantae; Streptophyta; Magnoliopsida; Lamiales; Oleaceae
Source: RNAcentral